RNAcentral lists this microRNA precursor (77 nucleotides) under Haemonchus placei. Its description in RNAcentral is "mir-5890 microRNA precursor family". It matches the Rfam family "mir-5890 microRNA precursor family". The record is from Rfam by way of RNAcentral. Lineage: Eukaryota; Metazoa; Nematoda; Chromadorea; Rhabditida; Trichostrongylidae.
UUUAUGCGGCGCCUAGGGCUGAAUUGUGGGAGAACUUAUAUGAUUCUAGCCCUUUUCAUUUUUAUGCUGCUUUGGAG